AUGUUAGAACAUUUCUGUGAAUGCUAUUUCGAUCUAAGUGGUCCUAUUCUCUGUCCCGUGCUAGGAAGCAUUACUCCUCUUUUCAUUCCAAAUUCUUCAAUAAGACCGAUACGAUUGAUUGGUCUGUGCGUUUCUCUUAUUACUUUUUUGUAUCCCCCUGUUCCUCGGAUACAAUUCGAUCCUUCUACGGCCAAAUCUCAAUUUGUGGAAAGCCUUCGAUGGCUUCCUUAUGAAAACAUCCAUUUGUAUAUGGGUAUAGACGGUCUUUCAUUAUUCUUCGUGAUAUUGACCACAUUUCUGAUCCCUAUUUGCAUUUCAGUGGGUUGGUCUGGUAUGAGAAGUUUUGGGAAAGAGUAUAUUACAGCAUUUCUAAUUCGUGAAUUUCUAAUGAUCGCCGUGUCCUGCAUGCUGGAUCCUCUACUAUUCUAUGUUCUUUCCGAAAGCGUGCCAAUCCCUAUGUUCAUCAUUAUAGGGGUAUGGGGUUCGAGACAAAGAAAGAUCAAGGCAGCAUAUCAGUUUUUCCUAUAUACUUUACUUGGAUCCGUUUUUAUGCUAUUAGCUAUUCUGUUGAUUCUUCUCCAAACAGGAACCACCGAUUUACAAAUUUUAUUAACCACUGAAUUUAGUGAGCGGCGCCAAAUCCUUCUAUGGAUUGCUUUUUUCGCCUCUUUUGCCGUCAAAGUGCCUAUGGUACCAGUUCAUAUUUGGUUACCCGAAGCCCAUGUAGAGGCACCUACGGCUGGAUCCGUCAUCUUGGCUGGAAUUCUUUUAAAAUUGGGAACCUACGGGUUUUUAAGAUUUUCAAUACCCAUGUUUCCCGAAGCGACACUUUGUUUCACUCCUUUCAUUUAUACUCUAAGCGCGAUUGCUAUAAUAUAUACUUCCUUGACCACUUUAAGACAGAUCGAUCUUAAGAAGAUCAUUGCCUACUCCUCAGUAGCCCAUAUGAAUUUGGUGACUAUUGGUAUGUUUAGUCGGAACAUACAGGGAAUUGGAGGUAGCAUUUUACUUAUGUUAAGUCAUGGACUGGUUUCUUCAGCCCUUUUUCUAUGUGUUGGUGUUCUAUAUGACCGACAUAAGACUCGACUUGUUAGAUAUUAUGGAGGUUUAGUGAGCACCAUGCCGAAUUUCUCUACCAUUUUCUUCUUUUUCACUUUAGCCAAUAUGAGUUUACCCGGCACUAGCAGCUUUAUCGGGGAAUUUCUAAUCUUAGUAGGAGCUUUCCAAAGAAAUAGCUUAGUAGCCACAUUAGCUGCGCUUGGGAUGAUUUUAGGCGCGGCGUAUUCCCUUUGGCUAUAUAAUCGUGUGGUUUCUGGAAAUUUAAAACCCGAUUUCCUCUAUAAAUUCUCCGAUCUAAAUGGCAGAGAAGUUUCCAUAUUUCUACCUUUUCUUGUUGGAGUUGUUCGGAUGGGUGUUCACCCCAAAGUGUUCCCGGACUGCAUGCAUACAUCCGUAAGUAACUUAGUGCAACAUGGCAAAUUUCAUUGA
This 1488-nucleotide ribosomal RNA is filed under the name Triticum aestivum (bread wheat). RNAcentral describes it as "partial small subunit ribosomal RNA". Lineage: Eukaryota; Viridiplantae; Streptophyta; Magnoliopsida; Poales; Poaceae. The record is from RNAcentral.